Molecule: transfer RNA, 76 nt
Filed under: Methanobacteriota archaeon
Lineage: Archaea; Methanobacteriati; Methanobacteriota
Also listed under: 2 other names
Description: Euryarchaeota archaeon tRNA-Glu
Rfam family: tRNA
About the family: Transfer RNA (tRNA) molecules are approximately 80 nucleotides in length.
Source: RNAcentral
GCUCGUAUAGUGUAGUGGCCCAUCAUAAAGGACUCUCAUUCCUUUGACCCGGGUUCAAAUCCCGGUACGAGCACCA